This is a long non-coding RNA of Silurus meridionalis, 549 nucleotides long. RefSeq lists it as uncharacterized. The record is from RefSeq and is a predicted model, not a curated record. The transcript is spliced from 3 exons. Lineage: Eukaryota; Metazoa; Chordata; Actinopteri; Siluriformes; Siluridae.
CACACACACACACACACACACACACACACACACACAAACAUACACACCCAGAUUGCUCCAGGAAAGAUGCUCCAACCAGAUGGCAUUUACCGUUUGUGCCAUGCUGGGCUCAGCAGGACAUAAAGCUUAAGAGGUUAGAGCUGUCAAAAAGACUCUGCGCAUAGAGAAAAAGACAAGAUGACCUUUAGGGCCUGCAUCAAGCUUGAGGACACGCUCCAACCACGAGGCAAUUGUUCACCAAUCAAUAUCUCCAUCUAAAACCGAGGAAAUUAUUCAAAUUGCAUUUACAUUAAUGAUUUUCUUUUUUUCAUGGUAAUUUAGGUGAGCAGAUGUUUCAUGGUAGGCAUGCAUGGAAUUGAUUUAUCCUGAAGAGUUCAUCUCAUGUCUUGUCAAAAUGGCAUUAUUGAUUUCAUUGAAUUAGUAGCCUGAAACCUGGAAUUCAAUAGCUUUUAAACCUCUGACUGACAGUUGUGAUUCUGCAUCAUUAGCAUUUUAUAUCAAAUGUCAGUUCUUUACUGUUCUAACCAUACAGCUCUUUACGCAUCAUAU